UACGGGGGGGGCAAGCGUUGUUCGGAAUUACUGGGCGUAAAGGGCGUGUAGGCGGCUAACUAAGUCCGACGUGAAAUCCCCAGGCUUAACCUGGGAACUGCGUCGGAUACUGGAUGGCUUGAAUCCGGGAGAGGGAUGCGGAAUUCCAGGUGUAGCGGUGAAAUGCGUAGAUAUCUGGAGGAACACCGGUGGCGAAGGCGGCAUCCUGGACCGGCAUUGACGCUAAAGCGCGAAAGCCAGGGGAGCAAACGGG
This 253-nucleotide ribosomal RNA is filed under the name uncultured bacterium. RNAcentral's name for it is "partial 16S ribosomal RNA". It matches the Rfam family "Bacterial small subunit ribosomal RNA", at positions 524 to 776 of the family's 1533-position model. The record is from RNAcentral.